This 719-nucleotide long non-coding RNA is filed under the name Panax ginseng (ginseng). RNAcentral describes it as "long non-coding RNA (PGIN_LNC013710)". Lineage: Eukaryota; Viridiplantae; Streptophyta; Magnoliopsida; Apiales; Araliaceae. The record is from RNAcentral.
AGUAACUCUGUUAUCUCCUAAUAAAAAAAUACGCUUUUAACUUUUUUCGGUUUUCCUAAAGUCUCUUCAUCUUCUACAUCAGUCAUCUCGAUCUCAUCUACGUUUACAUCAUCUCCGAGAAUCCCUCUGAUCAAUUUUUCUUUCAUCUUCAUAACUCACCAAUUUAAAUCAAAUGCUUUGAGUUUGCCUUUUUUUUGGUCAAUCUGAAAAGGGGAAGAGCACAACUCUACAAACCGUUUUUCAUCUUCUUCGUUCUUAUGCCAUAUAAGUUUUUCUUCUUCUUAGUUUUGUUCUUUCUAUAUUGAAGAGAUUCAUCUUCUUCGUGGGUUCCACUGAUUGCUUUGAUGAUGGCAUUCCCUUUUGUCUGCCAACUAAUUUUUAAAAUGUCGACUCUACAUUUGGAAUUCAAUGUGUCUGAGAUGAAGAUAUUGGAGAAGAAUUCCUAAAUGCUUGAAAAAUAUGAAGAGGACAUUCUAGUUGAAGUAUUGAUGUAUAGAACUUUGUUAGAUUAUUGUGUGUUGUAAUUUGGAUCCGUGAAUGGACCAUAUGUUAUAGAAUGGUAGGAUGGUUGAAGUGCACUCUAAGUGUUUGUGAAAAUGUCAAACUUAGAUUUCACUUUACAGUAUGUUGUUGUAAUUUGGUUUUGUGAAUAAACAAAUUGUGCUACAAGCAUAUAAUGAUUUAAGUGCACUGUGAAUGUUUAAAAUGAAUAUCCAUAU